UCGUAGCAACGAGCGUGAGGAGAAAAGAUCUAGGAGCCCUAAGCGUCACAGGGUAUCAUCUCCACCACCAUCCAAAGGGAGGAAGCACAGCCCAACACCUGAUGAGAGAAGCCCACGAGAGAGGGGCACUCCUUCACCAAGGGAUGGUAGGCCAGCCAAUGGCUCAGAGAAUAGUAGAAGCCCUAAAGAUGAUGCUCCAAGGGAUGAUGGUAUCAAAGAUAGGAGUCCUCUUGAAGAAAAUGGCCAUAGCCGAAGUCCUAGCCCCAUCCGUAGGGACAAUGGAAGCCCCGCUGAUAAUGAUGAAACCAAUGGUUCACCAAGGGGCAGUGAGUGAGAUAUGAAGUAUCUCAACUCUCCUUCAUUUCUGUGUAAUCUGUUUUGGGAGGUCUAUAUGUAUUAAUUUGGUGCUGGAACUCAUUAUCCCUGUUUCUAUGAGAUUUUAUACAAUCUAUUACAUUUGAAGAACGAUUUAAUCCACUUUGUUCUGUGUGUUGAUACGCCAGCCAAUUAGCCAAAUAAGUUGGCAGUUUGAUAAUACACUGAAUUUCUACUCCUCUCGUGGAACCAGGGAACUGCUGCUCAUAUUUAUUUGGUCCAAUAGAAACAUUAAGCAGUACUUUGACUUUGGCCCUCGUCCGUUACUGCUCCUCCUCGAGUUUAUUGAUUUGCAUUAGGGGUUAACCUCCAGUUUAGUGAUUUACAUUGGGUAUAAACCAGUUUUCUGUUGCCCGCGAAGGUCAUGGGACUAGCUGUUUAACGAUUCUCCUGCACUAUAAUGUGAUAACUUGCCUUGUCCUUUUGAAAGACGGAAGCAAGAAAUCAGUUUUACCUGGUCAAAGAAACCCACGGACUCUGGAAGAAAUUUUGCAGCGUCUAUAUCAUUAAAGCGUACGGUUUUUUGAAUUGCUGAUAUCAACUGUCGGCAGCGGCAAACAAUAUAGCAAAUCACUCAAUGCUGUUCACCUCCAGUAAACAAUUGAAUGUAGCAGAGAUUUCCGCUGGUGUUUCUUCGCUGUUGCUAAAGAAGCUGAGAAAUGGGUAUGCAAGAUCCCCUCUGCACAUGCUGCUUUCGUCUUCAGGACAUGUCCAAGAUUAGAAGCACAAAGGAAUCCCCGCCACCAACUGCAUUUUCACCGCUCCUCCCUCUCCCUCGUCACCACUCUCAUCAUACUGAUGCAUGUUUCUAUAUGAUUCCGCCAACCGAAUUUCCACCUUUAAUUGUACCUCUUUAAUUUGCAGUUAGCUGUUAAGAGUGAAUAACAUCACACAUAACGUCAAUAACGGACACCUGAUUCAAUGGCUUGAGCUUCGUGGAAGAGCUCAAGGUGACGCCAGAUGGACAUAAAUCAAGCAAAUCCAAGCAUCUUCAAAAUCCAGAGGGUUAGAGCCGAGGUAACUCACAGUAACAAGUCGCUAUUUUAUGUUUUUGCAAAGGUUCAGAAUGGAGUUUAGUUUGUGUUCCGCUAUUUGGAUGGAAGUGUGUUACAGAUGAGAGCUCUAUUAGCCAAUGCUACACCAUCGGCAUCAAGUGAAAAGCUUUACUCAACUACCUCAAGAUUUAAAUAAAGAUCUUAACUAAUAAUUACAAACCUAAGGGGGGUGUACUUGGCAUAUGUACAUUUGUAUGUAUCAAAUUGUAGGUCGGGGCAUCAAAACAAGCACCCAGACCAGUACCUGACAUGACCAGAUGCCAGACAAUCAGCAUUCAAUAGAGAAACUACAGGCUGAAGAACAGGUCGCCAAUCACUUGUAUGGACCCGAUCAGUUUUAGAAUGGGUCUCAUGAAAUAUAUGCUUUGAUCACCUCAGUGUAGUUGCAGACUAGGCCUGUCCUUGGGCAUGUAAUCCUUCCAUCAUUCUUCUUGGCCAUUUCCUCGAGAGCCUGCCAUCGCAAAAAGAACAGGGGUAAAGAUUUUAAGAACUCAAAAGAAAUAUAACAUAUAGAGUAUGGUGCAAACCUUAGUGCUGUACACAUAUCCAUUCGGCAAGACUAGUGGCGGAUUCUCAGUAUCCAUCAGUUCCUUGGUAAUGUAGCAAACAAGUUUUGAAUGAUGCUGCUUUGAAUAUGGAAGUGGAAGAGCUAAUUUACGGAAGCUCUCUUGUGAGAGAGGAUCCUCCUUUGUGCAAUCAUCUUCAUAACAGAAUCUAAAUCAGGUCAAGGAAAAAGUGGGGAUUCCGAAAAAUCACUCCACACAUGAAACACCAUAUUACAAGUUAAAUCAAUUAAUAUGGUGUCAAAGGAAAAAAGGAAAAGGAGACUAAACUAAGUUAAUUAUCUUUCUGACCCUCCAAGCAAGAUUGACAAGACAAAACCAUUAGAUCUGACAGUCUCAAGCAUUUAAAAAUUUUAUAUAUCAGGAGAAGAAUGGGAGAUAACUAUAGAAACCAGACGAGGAUACGGAGUUUUCAAAGCAGACAAGCCUGCUUGCAAAUAUAUGUUCAGCAAAGGCUCUAGUGUCAUGCCAUAUAACCUGCAGAACUCCUGCUUGAAUUGGUCGACUAGGUAGUCCCAUUGCUUUGCUUCAAAUAAAACCUGGAAAUUGCAAUAAAUAACAAAUGAAAUGAAACAAACAAUUACCCUCAUGUGGAACGAAGGCAAGCAAAAACCACUUCGUACAAAGACCCUAUUCAAUUACAUGCAAAUGGAGCAACUUUUGCAAUCAGAGGUCAAGAGUGUUUUUAUGCCCUCUGCAGUCCUUUCCCCUCUCCGAGUUCUUCCUCAAAAAGAGGGGAAAAGAAAAACAACAAAAAGGAAAAUUCAGGAAAAUUGAGGACAAGAGAAGAUAUUCACCUUGUAAGUUGGACAUUCAGUAUUACUUUUAAAAGCAAGUGUGGCCAUGACCCGCUGCAAUUCUUUCAUAUGGGUGGCUCCCCAUGGCGCUAGAUACUUGCGCGCAUACGUAAUUGCUCGCAUAUUGUUUUCAGCUCUUACCAACUCUAUAAAUUCUUGUAACCUCAACUGAAACUCAAAUUUGCUCUGCCAUGAAGAGAAUAAAAAGCUUAGUGCAUGAAAAUUACUCCAGUAAUCAAGUAACAAUUCAAUCAGAAUUCAACAUUAUACACAGCUACACAAAGAGAGGUAAACAGUGUAAAUAUCUUGUGAAUGAAAACCUUUUCUUUAAUAACAUAAAAAUAGCCAUUCUGCAUGAAUACUUCCUCUUUAAUUGAAACCUUAUAACCGUGACUUGACAAGCCUACAAUCUUAAGCUUCAUUAACAGUUGAUUGCAAUCGCAAUUUUCCAGCAUUAUCUAACUUCAUCAUCAUAGACCUGCUAACCAUACUUCAAUGUAAAUUCUCUCUCUCUCUCUCUCUCUCUCUCUCUCUCUUGACAGAGCAUCACAUUUUUCAGAGUAGUCCACUUUUUUAUUCUUUUUUAAGGAGUGUUCUGCAAAUUUUAUCCUCCAACUACCAAAUUCAUAAAGCAUUGAGAAAGUAGCAUUACCUAACCAUCAUCAUCAGUUUUACUAUCAGUGACAACACUAGACGCCAGAAAAUUAGCCUUCUCCACGUUAAAACUGGAAAAACAAAAUAAGGUUUCACUUUCAUGGUAUAGAAAGGCAAUAGGUUUCUGACAGAUUCUUUCACUUAAGGUUCAGAGUUUGCUUGUGUGACUGAUCUGUUUGCUUUUGAUGUGGAAGGUUGACCUUUAUGGCAUCUUCUGAAAGUUUGUCUGAUUAUCAUUUAGUCCAGAAUAUUAGAGACUGAAGUGUGAGGAAAUAUAUGCAGCUCUACAUAGAUGGAUGUUUUUAACAUAAUUCUGUGCGGGGAGGGGAAAUUUUACUUUCAAGAUUGACUUUUAAAAAUAUAUCCUAGCAAAUAUAUCUCAAGUUGCACAGGAAACUUGGCAUACUGAAUGAUGCAGUAUGAAGGUGUAUAUAGCUUUCUUGACUGCACAAGUAUUAUGGCCUGUAUGGUAUACUAUAAAAGUCCAUGUCACUUUAAGUCUGGAAGUAAAAGAUUCUUGUACUUAGUGCUGGAUGAAUUUUUAUGCUUAAGACAAUUGAAACAUUAUGAGCUAGCAAGCAAUCUGCUUACACUCAAGCAUACACUUGAAGUGAUGCUACGAAUAACCGCUUGUGACAGACCCAUCUUCCACCUCAAAAGCAAACAGAUCACUCACACAACCAAAAACUGAACCUUAAGCGAAAGAAUCUGCCAGAAACCUAUUGCCUUCUAUACCAAUAAGUAACACUUCUGAGCAUACUCAAGCAUACAUUUAAGGUGAUGCUCUGGAAAACCUCUUGUGACCAGGGGUCUAUCCUCCCCAUCAAAAGCAAACUAAUUACUCAUACAAUAGUCUACAAUGUGUGAUGAAAUAAUGUUAAAAGAUGCCAGUGCAUCAUCAUACUUCUAAGCUAGAUGAAAUUGUCUUUAUACACAAAUUUGUCAUAUUCCACCAUUAGUAAAGAAUAAUCAAGCAGAAUUGCACAAGAUAGAUGCUUUAAUUUUAUUUUUCUCACUACCUUUGUACAGGUCAAAAAAGAAUGCAUAGCAGGAAAAUAAUAAUAAUAACACAAAGUCUACAGACUACCACAUAGAAGAAGCACUGCAUGCAGUACUUUUUAGUCAUUCAAGUUUAUAUACGUGAAAUCUGAGAACUCACUAGAUUACAACAUGCUGUUUAGGAGACGAAACAGAAAGCAUUCAGACAGGUUCUUAAAGAGCCUUGCUAACAAAGAGACUCCAUUCUGAUAAAUGAGAUUACAGCAUAUAACCAACUUACGACAGCCAAUUAUAAUAUAUCACGUACUUUUGCAAGUUAAAAAGUAGUAAUUAUAAGCUUUAACCAUGCUGCAUAAUAUUCCAGAAACAACAUUCAGCACUGUACCAAGAAAGAAUUACUCCCAAGAGAAUUACAAUUAUAGAAUUGUGAACUUUGUUACUUGCUAUUCUAUUAGCUUUCCAUGAACCAUCAUGGAAGUUUCAUGCAAACAUUAGAGAGUUUGAAAGAUUGAAUUGCAUCAAAUAGUAGAAAAGCCGAUGGAUAUUACUGAAUCAAGGAAACCCAAUCCAAAACUUAAUGCAACUAACCGCUUAACUUCAAUUUUCAACAGUUUGUACAAGGAAUCAUCUGAUACCUUUGACUUCUUCAGUCUGGACUUGUUAUCAGCACACCAGGCAAGAGCAGGAGCCACCUCUUUGCUUUGAAGAGCUUCAAUGACUUUUUUUGCUUCGAAAAAGACAUCAAUAUCAACAAAAUCCUAACAGAAGGAGCGUGGUUAAUCAUCAUUUUCCAAUGUAUUUACAACACUUUCUACAGCAAAUUGCAAUGGGGAACACAAUAGCUUUACAUUAUAAUAAACUGAUCCCUCCCAAAAGAGGUGCAUUAAUGCCAAAGGGGAAAGAAUGAGAACUAACUAAGAUCAAUUGGAAGAUAAGUAAUAUGGAAAUCAGAAUAAAUGAGACACUUUUAUUGAUAAUUUCUAACUAAAUGGAGAAUAAGUCAAAAGCCUUAGAAGUCAAAGCACAACACACAGAUGCUUGCACCAAAUGCAUCUCAUAUGCAGCCAUGAAACAACAAAGUGAGUCAACCACAAGAUAUAUUGGUAUUUGCAUUAGGUGGUUCACAAUUAGCUACUUUGUGUCAUAAAAUAGCUGCACCCAAGAAGCUGAAGAUCAAAUAUUCAGAUCAAAGAACAAACUAAAGCAAACAAUUUUCCAGCAAAUGCAACAACACAUGCUGCAAAACAGGGCAAGCAGAAAUCACCUGAAUACUGCUGCUUCCUGCAAGCUUAAUAGCAGUGUCAUAAUAUGACAUGCGCAACAUGUAGUCAACCAGUAUCCGCUUCAGACGGAUAUUGUUCCAUUCCGAUAAAUUUUCUGCAUCAGCAGACUCCAAAUGGUCCAGUCGUGCUCGGCAUCUCUGCGCUUGCAAGUGCUCUGUUCUACUUCCUUCUUCCAACUAAUUAAUGAAGCCACAUGUAAUUAAAUCACGAGAAAUUCAAAAUUCAACAAUUCUGACACAUCAGACUCUGUAAUAAUUCGUCAACGGUGAUUUAUUUUUUCAUCCUAUAUGUUUAAUGCAGUUGACACUGACAAAAAGAGAAAUUAUUUACUAAGCUCCACAUAAUUGCAUUCGGAAAAAGAAGCUAAGUCAACAACAAAGAAAGAAACAAAUACAAAUCUCACAUUUUCCAGAUUAAACGCAGCAAAGAUUUUUCCUGACCUUUUACUACUUUCUACAAUUGAGAAUACAAAACUAUUGAAGGAUAGAAAUAAUCAGCUUCAGAUUUUACAUAUUUCAAAUUGAACUUAGAAAAAAAAUAUCCUUUGUGUUCCAACAUAAUUUUUGGUUAAUUUCUCCAACUUAAUGUAAAUUAGUUCUCUUAUAUCAUUGUAAUUGCAGUUUCCAAGGUAAUUAAAAUACCACUAAUUGGACUACCUUCCGCUUGAGUCCUUGUAAUCGAGAAACGAGUGAAUUAAGUUGCUGAACAGCAUCAUCACGGGAGAGUUCAGCGGAGUCGGCGGCUUCAGCGACGCCGGAUAUGACGGCGGAGACUUCUUUCUCAACGAUGCGGUGGUUAGCACGGAUCGUCUUCUUGUAGUGCUCGAAUGGGACACGAAGGAACUGGUGCUCGAGUUUUAGAGACUCCGCCAGUUGAGUUAGCUUAGAUGAUGGAAGCGCCGAGGCCGAAACGGCUCCGGCAGUAAUGGCGGCGGUGGGUGUGGCGGGGGCCGAGGUGGUGGAACCGGUGGUUGAGGAUGCAGAGCUGCCGUUGGGAAGCGCGUCCGUUUCCAUCUCCAUUUUUCCUGCAAAGAGGAUCUUUUUGGAUGAUUAUUUGGAUCAGAAUUUAGAAGCUGAUUGCUGUAGAGGGGAAGCGACCGAGCAGAUUGGGCAAAACGGGAAGAAAGGUCGUUUUCUAAUUUGUGCUGUGGCAAGUAGAAACGCUGUCGUGCGACUCUGUACACUUGUGCUUCACCUGUGAUUUUGGGCUUGCAAAGUGGAGAUUGCUACCUUCAAGUCUGACAAUUAUUCCCCAUGGACAUUUGGCCCAUUUGGUGUGAACGCAAUGGACAAAAUAUGUGGGGCUACAUCAUGGUAUCCCUUUGCUUUAGUUGUCUGACAUAUCCUAUUCGGCACUUGAGUUUUUGAAUUUUUUUUUUUUUUUUUUGGUAAAAAUCACCCAUCUACAAUAAUAUCUAUUUAGGGUUGCAAACAAGUCGAGUGAAUUGAACUUUAGACUAAUUGAACCGAAUCUCGACUUAAUUUUAUCAAACUCGAAUUCGAGUUCGAGUUUGACGAACUGCCAAUUUAAAGCUCGAGCUCGAAAAAAUAAAAAAUAAUUAUUUUUAUUUUUUAAAAAAAAUAAAUAAUAUAAUAUUUUUUCUUAAUAAAUAAUAAAAUAUUAGGGAUAUAUAUGUAAUUUUACUAUUAAAAUAAAAAAUAAAUAUAUCUAUAUACUCGAGCUCGCGAGCUAACGAUCUUAAUAUUUUGAACUCGAUAUUUUGACCAACUCGAGUUCGACUCAAACUGCUCGCAAGCGGUUCGGUGAGUUUGCAAACCUAUUUAUACUAUAUAUAAAACUUAAGGAAGGGAUUUGGGAUUAAUAUUGGGGUUAACAUUUAUCGUCACAUUAUAAAUUUACUUUUUUGCUCUUAUAAAAACUAGUUUUUAUUUUAACUACCUAUAACUAUCCAUUACUAUUUUUACUUUUAACUAUUUAAGUAUAUGUUUUCAACAUAACUACUAAUAUAAAAUUAUUUUAUGAAAAUUAUUUAAAAGAUUAGAGUUUGUUUCAGUAAUAAAAAUUUUAUUUAAAAUAUAUGACCAUAAAUAUUAUGUAAUUUUGAGCACUAGUUCUAAUAAAGUAUUUGGACUCGUAUAAAUUAGGUAUUUUGAAACAUUUUUUUUAGAAUUUUACAGUAGAUGUAUUUGUAUGUUAUGUUUUGGAUUAACCUUCUAUACACUAACAACGUAUAUGCUAUUACGGUUGGAUACAUGAUAUGUAUAUAGAAUUGAGAUUUCAAAUUUAAAUUCAAAUUAUGUGUCAUGUAUUAAAUGAUGAUAGUGUAUACACUAUCAAUAUAUAUAAUAUUAACACUUAUAUUGUUUAGUGUUUUUAAAAUUUUAAUUUUUUUGGGCCUUCUUAAAAAUUUUAAAGAGUAUUUUUCUCCCGUCAACCUCCCACUAGGCCCUUUUCAAACCACCUCUUCCCCACCGCCACCUUCUCCUCGCAAAUAAAGGGGAAAAGGAAGGGAAGGGAAUGGAGUAGAGGAGAAGGGAAGGAAAAAGAGGAAAAAGGAGGAGGAGCUAAGGGAAAAAAAAAAAAGAAGAGAGAAAGAGGUGACAGACGAUAAAUGGUGGUGGGGGAGGUGGCUGCCAUUUGGUGGAAGGAAGAGGAUGGGGGAGGUUGGGAAAUGGUGGUGGAGGGAAAGAAUGUCAAAAUGUGUUGAAGGAAGGUUGGCUAUUUUUUCAAGUUAUUUUUUUUGUUUUUUAUUUAUAACGUUUGGUUUGUGUAUGAGAUGUAUUUGGAGCAUUUUUUGGAUCUAUUACUUGUAUUUGAAAAAUUAGUAGUCUUUUGUGAGAAACUCCCCUCCCUACCAAGAUUUAAGUUUUAAAAAAAUCACACCAAAAAAAAUACCCUCCCCUCCCAUUCAUCUCUAAAACACAAAUUCUACUUAUGUUCCGGCUGAAAUAAGAAAAGAGACAUUAAACCCACAUUCAAUCACCUUGACUUGGUUUUUUGCCACCUAUGUGAGAGAACGAAGGCUUGACAAGCUAGAAAAUCAAAUUCAAUGGUAAAACUACCAAGGAAAUUCUUGGUUUUCCACUGAAAUUAGAUUAAACCAGAUACCUGUUUGUUCCAAAAACCAUAUUUUACAGGUUCACGGGCAGCAGCAGCAGGAGGCUUGUCAGCCACUUUCUCUUCUGAUAUAGGUUCCCACCUACUUUUGGAUCGUCUACUAGGACUUCUGCCUUUUGGUAAUGAAGAAAUGGGAGGUGAGAACAGUAUAUGUCUGCAUUCAACGAGACAAAAUGAAGUCAAUCUUUACUCCACAACUACACUCUUUUCAUUCUUGUAAUGCUAAAGGAUCAAAAUUGCAUUAAAUUAUUUAGCAUCUUUUAAAAUCUAACAUAAAGAAAAAGGGGGGGUUCCAUUGACCAGUGCCAAGAACAAAAAUACCAAAGGAAUAACUUCACAAAAUAUCACAUUUAAGACAGUUUUCCUCAUAUACGACUUAUAGCCAAAAGAAAAAAGUAUUGGGACCAAGGAAAUUGAAGUAUUGGGAGCUUCCACACUCAAAACACCUGAAUCAAGAUUUACAUGUGGUAAUUCUUGUUGAUGAGUACUUAUAUUAAUAACAAUGUCAGCAUUUACAAAAGAAAAGUAUGUUGCCUUACAUAUCUCAACAAAUUGUGUUGGGCAUGUGACACACUAUUAACAAGAUCAUAAGAUGUUGAAUGUUUUCUUCUUAUUUAUCAUGGAUGCUCAAGGUAGAAAGCAGAAGGGAGGAAGGGGGCAGAGAGAGGAAGAGGGAGAUACUCUUGAUUAGCAGCAUCUGCAUUCGGCAGGGGGAAAAGAGGCUCUGUAUCCCAAUCUCUUGUAUGUAGAGUACCAUCAGCGGUUGCCUUCAUGAUAAUCUAACAAGUGCAGUAACAUAUAAGAGAUAAGUAAACAGCACAAGAGAAAAGUAGAAACAAAGAACUGCAUUGUAACAAACAAAAUGCAUAACAAAAAAUAAAACUUAAACAAUUGGCAGCUGUAGUAAACUGUGAAUGACAUAGAACUAAGAUUUCCAUGAAAAGGUGAAAGCAGAAGUCUUCCCACAUCAUAAGUAAACUCUGUAACCAGAAACCAGCAUAUACAGGAGUACACAUACUAACGCCAACAGCAAUCCAACAGUAUGUGCAAUAUGAACAAGUCAACUUUGCAAAUGAACUCUAAACUUAUACACACGCACGAGAGAGAGAGAGAGCAAUUUAUGGCAUUUACCAAAGAAAACAAAAGAAGGAAAAGGAUAAAUUGAAGUUGGUAGUUGAUCUCCAUCUAUCACAUCUGACAAAAAAAUAUUAAAACAGAAAUACAAUUCACACAAAAGCACAUACUUUCUUCACCAGAUGACUAUAAUUUAGAACCUAUGAAGAUUGGCACAGAAAGAUCAAAAACCACUGCUCCCUAAUCCAUUCGAGAUGACUCGAGGAUUUUUUGCAGUUUGUCUACUACCAAAUAUGGACUUCCCUAAUGACACAGCAAAAGCAACAUCAGUACACUUUGCUUACCUCUUUCAUGACAGCUUGAGAAGCCACCAUUUGUGCAUCACCAUUGCAGCGAGCCAAAGCCCUUUCGACAUAACCACACAGUGACUUUGGAAACAUGCCAGGCUACAAAUAACAAAAAUAGAGAUCAAUUUAAAAAUAAAAAAUAAAACAUGGAGAUCAGUUAAUAUAAUAAUGCCACCCACAGAUACUGUAAACAUGAACAUGCAUUCAAAAUGCAGAAACUGAAUGCACAUUCAUAGAAACUACAAAAUAAGUCAAAUUUGAACUCGUAUGAUGCUAGACGUUCAAGAGCCCAACAAAUGGGUUCAGUAAGUUCGAUGGCAACCUCAAUACUACAACCAUAAGGUGAACCAAAACUCAUCUAAAAAGGUUAAAUACAAAAUUUGACUAACUAGAUAUAGGAGGAAGAGGACUAGUAAGAUGUCCACCUAAGAAAUAUGAUAUCAAAAUUAACAAGUGCCUAACUAGAAGUACACAUCAACAUUGCAGAGCAGAAGAAACAAGCCAAGACUGCCUACUGACAUCUUUGCGUAAAAUAAGUCCAGUGGUAUUUGCUCAAAAAGGGGACACCUUUUGCCUUUUGCAACUAAAAAGUAAAUCAGCUACAAUUGAAAUGGAAAUUCAAAGUCCAACACCACUCCAUAACUUUAGAAGGAGGUCAAGCAACAGUGGAAUUCCAAACAAGUAAAAAAGACAAACACAUAAACCUAUGUACAGAUAAAGCUAGUUCAUAGGAUGAUCUUUAGAUAGUUACAAUAUUUCAAGUGCCUAAAAUGCAGCAGUAAAAUAUAAAUCUGAUUGAACAUGAAACCAUAUAUCAAGUGUACAGUUUAGAAAUGUAUUUAUGCCACAGGAAAUGAGAAAUUAUAAAUGACCACCAGAGGGAAGCAAAUUGUACCUUUAGUAUAGAAUCAGCAGCAUCUUCAGAUGGCACUUUCUCAUUUGGCUUUGUCAGUGAAACACUAAUGUAGGCAGGCUUUGAAGCUGCAGUGCUUGCAGAAAUAUCCUUCUCUACUUUUGGAAAACCCAAGCCCAAAUUUGAAGCAAUUCUAGGAUUUGUAGGAAUCUGCAAUUUGCUGCUUGCCCUGCGCGAAUCAAGCUGUGGAGCAAUUUGUGAAACAGUUUGUAAAGAUGACUGAUAACUUUGGGGAACCUGAUGCGUAGCUGUAUACACUAAGUUAUGUCCUUGAGAAUGUGCGUGAUUUUGCUGAUUCUGGAAGCUUUCAUAUGUGGAACUUGUCUCUAAAGGCAUUUGAACAUGUUGCACUGAAUUCAAAUUUUGAUUUUGAAAAACUGCAGGUGCAGGCUUCCAAUGCCCAUCAUGAACACCACCAUUCACUGUACCAGACUGGAAAGGGAAAAGCAGUGCAUAAGCAAUCACGUUAUUAAUCAACCAAAACAUGAUGCUGGCAUUGCUUCAUUAUAUCACCAGUGAACAUAUGACACAAGUAAACAGGUACCAAAACCAUGAAGGACACAUGAACAAGUAAAAAUUCACACAUAAAGAAGAAACAGAUAUUCUCUGAACAUUCGAAGCACUGUCACAGAGAUAUGUGAUUGCAGCAAAUUUAAACCAGGAAUGGUGAAUUCUAUCCACACCCCAGAACCAAAUUCUAAAGAAUAUUGUUAGUAGAAACUUAGACAGGAAAGAAUAUGCCUAGAUUAAUAGGCCAAACCUAGUUCCUGAAAAUGCACACUUCAACGUCCGUAAUUCAUGAAAGUUGCACAUGAAAGUAAAUGCUUAACCUUGUACUAAAUGUGAAUUCUAUCAUUGAACGUAAAAAUAUCAACUAUCAGUGAACACAUUCAAUAGGAGGGACAAAAAACCUGUGCCGCAGGUAAUUCAGAAGAUGUAGAUUCCGGCCUCCAGGACGUAAUAUAAGGUGCAGAGGCUUGACUAUUUGCUGCUGGAUACCCACCAGGGACAGAACUCAGACUAGGUGCACCAGAAGCAGAAACAUUUUCUGUCCCUGGAGCACAGCUGACUUCUGUUUGUGUUUGAUUGUAAUAGUCAGCCCAUUGCUUAUAAUGAUGUGCAUACUGUGAAGAUGCAGCACUAGGAGUGGAACUGUACAAUGUAGUCGAGUCUGGGGUGUAGUUGGGAUAUUGAGAAGAGUAUGUUGCGUACUGUCCUUCUUGCCAAUAAUUGGUCUGGUUGCUAUAAACACCACUCUGAUAACCUCCGGCUGUCUGAUAAUCAGCAGGAUUGUAGUAAGUGCUUGAAUAACUUGCAGACCCAGCAUAAGACCCAGUAUUCUGAAAUGAGGAAAGAGGCUGAUAAGGAGCACCUGAGUUUUGGUAUGCUCCUACAGGAGGUUGAUAUGGUUGACUUGUUUGCUGCUGAUAAUUAUUAUAGUAAGAUGCAUAUCCUGUAUUUCCAUAUCCAUACGGAUCUGUAUUCUGGUAGGUUGAAUAACUAUUGUAAUCGUGUUGUACAUUUACUGCCCCAGAAGUUGAAGUGGAUACAACAGGUGCCCCAUUUAAUCCAUCUUGGACACUCCUUGAGGUUAAUUCUGCUUGUUGGUCAUGAUGAUAAGUGGAAGUAGAAACGGUUCCAUUCUCCCUAGGAUAAUUAUUUGCCCCAUGGGUGGUCCAUGAUAUUGGUGCAGAGCUAGUUGAGGCAUAGUAAGAGGAUGCAUGUGCUUGACUUGGAUCAAUGACUGGAUACUUCUGGAAAACAAGGAUAAAUUUGUUUUUAGAUACAAGAAACACAUUUUCAAAAAAUUCUUUUUCCCAGUUUUCUUUUGAUAAAAGUGCAUCAAUUACAAAUAUAAUCUGCAUUUACAACAUGACACAUAACAGGUAGAGGAAGAAAGCAAGAAAACAAAACAAAAAGGAUACAAAACAAGAAACCCAGAAGCCACCAAGAAAAUCUUAGAUAUAAAUAUAGAGGUAAUCCACAUCAACUUCCCAAAGAAGAUUAUAAUGUAAUAUGUUUCAUAUACUACAGUAGUAACAACCAUACGAAUAGUAAUAAAAUAUAGACACUUUCCCAUUCAACAAAGGCUGAAGCCUGUGAAUAAUAGUCUCACUGAAUUAAAUAUGUACUAUGGUUUAUUUUUUACAAAUGUAAAUCCUGAAUGGAACUUAGAAAGAUAAUUCUACUGUGGAAGAUCUAAAACUACAGUGUAACAUUUAACUUUAGAUUUUGAGAGCCUAAAGAUCAUAAAUUAUGCAUAGCAGGAGUCAACAAACCAUGAGUUCAAAUCUGCAUUGUUUUCUUAGAGAUAUACAGGGUGAGAAACACUUCCAUCAUGAAGUUAGAGAAAUUUUAACGAGAGAAUAUAUCAUAUUCGAAAGUUGUGUUAGAGAAGAUCACAACUGUGCAACUUUCACAAUUUCAUCCUCUAGUUUCAACUUAGAAACUGUUUAAUGGCCCAUUUUGUUAUUGUAGAUGGUUUCAAGUAAGGGCUCUGCCUUUCAGUCCAAUUCUUCCAAAUUCUCAAAUAUAAAACAAUGGGCUUCACAAACAUCUAGAACCCAUUUAUUUCUCUCAAUUGUCACACUAAAAAGCUCUACAACAAAUUAACAUAAAAUUUUUCUCUCCAUAUCAUUAUCUGGUUCGCACUUAACUCAACCAAAAUAGGCCUUUGUACAGGUGAUCGUUAUGACAAUUAAAAGAACUGGUUCAAUCAAUUUAAACAACAAUGAGAAACAGCAACUAACUAGUGAAGAACAAGGCAGCACAAAGCACAAAGAAAAUCCUCUGCACAUACAGAAUAAGACAAGAACUUUUAGCCCACGCCAAUCCACUUCGAAUCUCAUGUUAACACAACAAACACAUCUAUCACAAACUCGUAAUGAUGGACACUAUGCUUAUGAGUAUGUUUUAGGGUUUGCAAUCCUUAUGCAACUAGCUAAGAAGAAAAAUUAGCAGCUUCCAUUUAGUUUACUCAAAAAAAAAAAGAAACGCUAUAGAACAAUGACCAGAGAAAGCAGAAAUGAAAGAGAAAGGGUGCUUUCUCACUCAAACUUACUGCCAGCAAUACAAGUGAUGACAUAGUACUGAGUAACGAUGCCAGCAAGCCAGGUUUUCAUACAUAUUAGAACAUAAAUCCUGGAUUUUGCAGAAAAAUCCAACUGGAUAAUUUAUGGAAUCUUAGUUCCCCAACCCCAGCACAAACAAAAAACUUUGAGGGUGUAUUCUUAAAACUCGCAUCAACGUUCGCCAUUUUUACUCAAAUGAAACUGACGAGAAUCACGUCCAAUGCCACUCAAUAAACCCCAAAACCAUUCCAUAAGCUUGCUAGAACCAGAUAGUGCACAAAUUAGUACCUAAUUUCUUGUUUCCUAACUCAAGCUAGCAACGAGAAGUUCAUAUCUCAAACAAAAGCAGCUAAAUCCUGCCUAAUCCAAUGUUCAACCUUUAGAAACAACCCAUCCUAAUGCUCAUUAAGCAGCUCUUUUUACAAUUUUACCUUCUACCUGAUAACACCGAGCAACAUCUUCAACAUAAAAUGGUUUAUAUUAUUCAACCAUAAAAUACAAAAGAUUUGGUUAGUUACCUCGACGGAAUUGGUGCCCAGUGUUGUUAGAGUAUCAGUAGUCCCUCCUUGAUUCAUCCUCGUCAAACUAACAUGCUGCAAAUUUUACCUAACAACGGUUACUAAACAAUUUAUUAUCAACAAAUUCAAACAAAUCGCAAAAUCCUACCCGAUUCAACGAACUCAAGGGCUCAAACUUUCAGAGGAGACGGUAAAAAUAGCUCCAAAACCUAAAUUGCGUCAAACGCAGAAUCAAGAAAAGGACCAAAAUUAUCGACAGAAAAGCAGAAAACAAUCAGCUGGGACAGAAUUUUAAAAAAAAAAAAGUGCAAAUAGGUUGGAAAACCAAUUUGACUAGGUUGUCAAAAUAACCCAGAUAGGAACGACGUCGCGUAGGUAGUGCUUUAUAUAGUCUAAAACGGACCCACAACCUUGGACCGACCCAGUAUCAAACCGGGCUAAGUUGGCCCUUUACCUUCACGAUGUUCAAAAUCUAGAAGGAAUCCAUCCAGUGCACGUUAAACAGCUAUUUAAUGUUUUAACACCGACCAUAUAAUACAGACAUAAUGGGUUAAUUACCUCGACGGAUUUGAAGCCGAGUGUUCCUAGAGUAUCACAAGAGUAGUCUAGACUCUAGAGCUGUGGACAAACUGAGUAUAUCAUGUUUGAAUCUUAUUCGUUAAGUUAUUUGAAUCAGACUCGUGUUCGUUUGAAAAUUUUCGAUUCAGAAUCUCUGUUCAUGUACGUAUUCAGCUAGUUAAUUAAAAUUUUAAUUUAAGUUCGAUCGUUUAACAUAGAUGAACCAAUUUUGUAUAGCCUCGACAAGUUUGAAUUCAGGCUCAAUACUAAACUUACUAUUUAAUCCCAAAUUUUGUGAAAUGACAAUCGAGCACAUGUUCGCGAACGAGGUAAUAACAAAUUGCACUACCGCUAGUCGAAAAGGUUUAAGAGAUAAUAACAAAUUGCUAGGUGGUUGUGAGCACUAAGUAAUAUUAUAUACAUUCUUGACUCACUAAUACCUAUCGUUAUAAGAGGAUGAGUAUACACUGAAAUUAUACUCUUAAUGAAGUGUAAAUAUUUACAUAAUGUUUAAUGCUGUAAAUUUUGAAAGUAUCUUCACUUUAUGAUUCUCGAAGUCAUGCCACUUCUAACAAAAGUUGGAUUUGCUUUUGUUUAUGAUCAUGACUCUAGGAUGGAGCAUAUGGCUGCUAAAGUUGGAUGUGCGUAAUAUAUCUAACCUAAUUUUUAAAUUAUAGUUUAAUGCUAUAUGCAACUUUAAUUUGGUUAGAUUUGGUGAUGUACUUACACUAAAAGAAAAGUUUAAAUCUAACUAUUCUUUUCUUUAAGGAUUGUUUUUAUGUGCUAGUUUGUUUAUUUCGUUCACAAAAUAAGUGGGAAAUUGUUGAGAUAGUUCGUAAAAUAAAAUAGAAAUAAACAUUGUCAUAACAGAGAAACUAGAAAGUUUUUGAACGUUUUUGUCAUAAUCUUAAGGGUCUAUUGGAAGUUAGAAAGUUUUUGAAACAUUUUUUUUUUCAUUUUCUAUCAAUUGAAGGAACUUAAGUGAUGCUUCUUGAUAUACACAAAUGUCAUAAACAUAUGAGAAAGUGGGUGAUCAAUUUACGACAUUUGUGUCGUCUUUUUAAUAUAAAAAUGACAAGUUUCUAACAAAUCAACUAACUAGAAUCAUUAUAUUUUCUUUGUAGGAGGAAGUUUGACAUUUGCUAUCUUUUCUUUUAACAUUUCACCUCUCAACUUGAAAGAUAUUUUCUCAAAAUAUUUGGUUUGCAAUCUUAUUAAAAUAUCUAUUAAUAUUAUUAGUCACCUCAUCCUUUUUAGACUAAGAUGGUGAAAAAUUCAUAUAAAAAUAGUUGUUAAAAGAUUCAGUUCAAAAAACUUACCAACCUAAUUUUAGAAGGUAUCAAAUUUGUAGAUAAAAACAAUAAGAAUAGUAUCUCAUCUAUUGUUGAGAUCAAGAAAAAUAGAAACAGACCAAAUUGAUAAAAUAGGCGAAAUUCUUGAAAAAUUUUUUUAAAAAAAAAGAAGGGAAAAAAUUACUCUCUCUUUUUUCAUUUGUUAUAAAUGCUCUAUCUUUUUACAUGUACACAAUAGAACUAGACAAAUUUUUUUGCAUCAGUUAAAACAAAACUAGAGAAUUUCCAAAAUCUAAAUUCCAUUGAAUAGAGAAAACAAUGAAACCAAAAUUUAAGCAUGCUACAAAAACACUUUUGCUCAAAAUCGAAGCACAUAACCUGUUGUUAGGUUUUGCCGGUACUAGAUUUUUGUACAACAUGUCUACCAAGCUACUAGAGGAAGUGGAAACUAAUCUACUAGAACAUAUCUCCUCCAUCAUUGGUAAAUCAAUCCAUGUUAUUUUGCUACUAUUUUUGGUAAAUUCACUUUGGUAAAUUCACUUUGGUGAGCGUCUUGUGUUGUCGACUCAGUACCUUGUAGACCUUGGGUCUAAAUAUGGAUCAAGUAUCUUAGAAGCUGAAGAUGGGAGUAAAACUCGAUCAUUUAUGAAUCAUUUCGAGGCAAUGCCAUGGGCUAUGAUGGAUGGAGGGUUGGUGUUGCGAGAUGACUAUAGGAUGAGAAAACUGGUAUGUUUAUUAUAUUAUUAUUAUUAUUAUUUGGAAAAUAAUUUUCACAAAAUAGGACAAAAUGAACAAAACUUCAAUCUAAAGAGCUAUAGCUAUUGGACAGCCACAAUGCAAAAAUUCAUUUCAAUCAUUUAUUUUUGUUUCAAUUGGAGAAAUGUCAUUUUUAUUCUUAUCGUACAAAAAUCACAACCCAUGAUCAUUGAAUAUCUUAUAUAAUAGAAAUUUGAUUGAAACUUGGUGUAUAGUAUACUUCCUGGCAAAAAUUACUUUACCAUAUUGUUUCAUGUACUUAACAUCAUCUCUUAUCCUGAUAUCUGGUUUUAGAUAUAUGAUUUUUUUUGCAUCUUAUCUUCAUAUUUUGUUUCAAUACUUUCUUUUUUCCUUUGAUAUUCCAUCCAAAGACUUAUUACAAUCUUUUGUUAAAGCUUAUUACUCCUCAUACUAUAUCACAAAAAUUAAGUAAGAAAUUUCACCUCUCAACCUGAAAGAUAUUUUCUCAAAAUAUUUGGUUUGCAAUCUUAUUAAAAUAUCUAUUAAUAUUAUUAGUCACCUCAUCCUUGUUAGAUUAAGAUGAUGAAAAAUUCAUAUAAAAAUAGUUGUUAAAAAAUUCAGUUCAAAAAACUUACCAACCUAAUUUCAGAAGGUAUCGGAUUUGUAGAUAAAAACAAUAAGAAUAGUAACUCAUCUAUUGCUAAGAUCAAGAAAAAUAGAAACAAACGAAAUUGAUAAAAGAGGCGAAAUUUUUGAUAAUUUUUUUAAAAAAAGAGAAGGGAAAAAAUUAUUCUCUCUUUUUUCAUUUGUUAUAAAUGCUCCAUAUUUUUACAUCUACACAAUAGAACUAGACAAAUUUUUUUCAUCAGCUAAAACAAAACUAGAGAAUUUCCAAAAUAUAAAUUCCAUUGAAUAGAGAAAACAAUGAAACCAAAAUUUAAGCAUGCUACAAAAACACUUUUGCUCAAAAUCGAAGCACAUAACCUGCUGUUAGGUUUUGCCGGUACUAGAUUUUUGUACAACAUAUCUACCAAGCUACUAGAGGGAGUGCAAACUAAUCUACUCGAACAUAUCUCCUCCAUCAUUGGUGAAUCAAUCCAAAACACGUAAAAAAUCUCUGAAGGUGAAAACGUCAAAAUAAAAUAAAAUAUACUUAUUAGAACAACGUCGUAGGUUGGCUCCCGACCUCACCCUUUCCCAUCUAGCCAUUUUUUAUCUCAAUUCCACCGUUUUAAUUCCACUUCAAUUGUGUCCCUAUAUAUAGUCUCUGUUUUCAUCUCCACAACAGAAUCAGAGAAUUUUUUCAUCACACAAUAUAAAACUAUAUACAACACACAACUAAGAGACAAUUUCCACAAUCAAAACAAUGAAUCCUACCUUUAAACACACUGCAAAGUCAUUUUUUCUCAAACUCGAUACCUAAUGUGGAGGUCGGCUCUGCCGGUGCUGGUCUUCUGUACAACUUGUCAAGCCGCCAGCUGGAGGCGACAUAAUCUAAUCUAUUUGAAGCUAUCAGAAAGUCUGAGUCUCCUCCAGCACCGGCAAAACAAUGCACGUCAGUUUCUACUAGUUUCUAGUAAUUUGCACUUUUACUUUAUUUUUGUUUGCUGAAGAGAAAAUGCCUAAUUCAGUUAUUCGACAUUUUUGUUUAAGUCAAUUUCAGUCCUCAAAUCUUUUACUUUGGAUUUUUUAGUCUCUUAAUUUAAAUUUAGUGGCCAUUUAUAUCCUUUCACGGUGGCGCUACCAAUUAGUUUGUUUCCGGCACAAAAAUGACCACUAAGUUAGGGGCAAAAGAGGAAUUACAAGCUAGGAUUAUUCUUAAAACAAAAUAAAAGUUUUUCUAUUAAACAAGGACACGUUCUUCAAUGAAGUUUUUUCUAUUGCGUUUACUUAUUCAAUGUCACAAUCCCAAUUUUCUUCAAUCAUAGUCUAAAUCAUACUUCAUUUUUUUCUUCAAUUAUUAGAUUGCGUCUUCUUCAUACUUACGAAAUUUAUGUUAACUGCUUAUUCAACAAUCUUACACAAUCAAGAGCUUCCCUUCGACAUACUCUCCUUCUCCUUUCUCCCUUCAAAUUGUUUGAAAGCAUUUUUACUUGGACUGAAUAAACUUGAUAUUUGGAUGUUUUGUUGUGAUGUUAGUUAAAUUUAUUUGUUAAUUUGGCUGUAACAAAUGUAAUUGAGGCAAAAUUACUUUGAUUGGAAAUAAUUUGCAUUCGAUAACAUUAUAAUUUGACAAAAAAAAUGGCCAUAUUUCUUUAUGACUAUCUCAUGUUUGAUUAAAUGCUUUAUAUACUUUAACUUUGAAAUUACUGAGUGAGAUGUAUGGCUCUGUUUGGAUCCUUCAGUUUUUUCAAAAACUAAUUUUUCAAAAACUAUAAAAAAUUUUAAAAAGUAUUUUGAAAGGUACUCUAAAAAGUAGUCUAAAUUUUUUUAAUAUUUAAAAAAUAUCCCAAAAUAUAUUUUAAAAACUCUACUACUCUUAAAUAUUUCAAAAUAUUUUCUAAAAAUAUCCCAAAAUAUACUCUAAAACUCUGUUACAGUAAAAUUUUUCAAAAACACCUCCAAAAACAGCUAAUCCAAACAGUUUUGCAACUAGAAUAUAAACGUCCAUGGCCAGCUCUGCCAUUAGCUAGCGAAUAAGAGCAUUUUUCUAUUUUAUUAAUUUGAGAACGAAAUUAGUUUAAGUAAAAUUAUUGAAAGUCUAAGCCAUUUUUCCAUUUUAUUAAUUUGCUUAUAUUUGGUUGUGAUUUUAGGGGUUAGACAGACUACUUAGAGGUUCACCCUCCGAAUGGGUGCAAGAGCGUUUUGGUAACCGAAGAAAUUGCUUUUAUUUUUUCAGUAGUGGUUUCUUUUAGUUUUUUUUUUUUAGCUUUUCAUCUUAACAUUAAUAUGGGAUUUAUUAAUUUAAUUUAUUGUAGAAACCUGACGGCAAUUUCAUCCUUAUUUUCCCUCCUGAUACCGAUGUGCACUCUGCACCCCCUGAGGUACGCAAAAUGCUUUACUACGAAUUUAUAGUCUUGUAGUUACCCUAAUUCAUUAUUGUGUAUCAUCGCAGAUUGUCGUUUGUUCUAGCACCUCCUCGUGACCGGCCAUCAGCCUAUACAUUCCUGAUUUCCGAACCUUUUGUAUCAUAAUGCUGUCUCGCGACUCAGAUUUACUAGUCAUGCUCGGAUUAGCCGAAUACCUUUGUAACUAAUAUUGCAGAUAUUUGAACCUAAAGGCCCAAUAAGUAGUUGCCAAACGGAUAUGGCAUUGUUGAAAAUCUACAUACUUCCUUUUUACUUCAAAGAUAGUACUAGUAUUUUCGAAACUAUCAGAAAUCAAAUUACUGGUAGACAAUUAUGUGACCCGCCCAUUGGCAUCCACAAUUUAGUCAAAUAAUAAAGAGGCAGGAAAACUCAUUUAACUAAAUAACCGGUUGGAACGACGUCGGGUAAGUGGUGCUUCACGUCACCGGCGAGAACAGACCCAAUUGGCUUUAGACGCUAGUCCUAGUUAUUUGAAUCUUUAAUAGUAUUCAGUACGUUUUAUAAACAGUUUUGCAUAAAGAAAAACAGACCCAUGUGGGCUCAAAUCAAUAAUGAGCUCAAAAUUCACCGUUGAUCAUUUGAGACUUGGAUCUGUGACUGCCAAACCUACUUACCCCCAAUGACUAAGGCACAGAGCUUUCGAGUUUGGUUACAACUUGUGGUUAACCGGCCUUCAUCAUCAGCACGAGAAUCCUUUCUGCCCUCUAUGUUCAUGUUCUUCUCAUCGCUCGGUUUAGGUGCAUACUUUUUCUAUUUAGGUGCAUUACUCUGCAGUCUCUAGGUACACAUUUAUGCCGACUUUUCAACGUAAGCUUUCCAGUUGGGUAAAAAUUUCUUCUUAUACCCUUAACUUCCUAAAACCAGUAAGGUGUAUUUGCCUAUCACCACAGAAGUAAGGUGUGUUUGCCUAUCACCACAGAGGACAUCAGCCAAAGCAUUAGUGCUAUUCUUUGAGCAUUUCAUGUUGUACGACAUCCUGGAAACCACUUUCAAUAAUCUUGGCAAUGUACUAAAUUCUUAACUAAACCCCGCUGAUAAAAAAUGGACAAUCUUCAGAACUUUUGCUUAAAGACCUUGAAGAAAUUUGAAGAUCUUUCAGGUUUCUUCUCCGUGUUCAUUUCUAAUUUUUAACUUGGGCGGUGGAGGGCUAAGAGCCAUCAACAUGCGGUAAAAAGUACUAGUUGAGAAAAAUUAUGCUCUCUCAUUGAGUCCCCAUCUUAUUACACUCUCUAUCUAACCUUCCGUCGUGGAAUUUGAGAAUUCAAACACGUUACUAGUGCAAGUUAAAAGGCGUCAACACCUUUUGCUGGGAAAUCCAGCUCGUUGCCAUAGCAAACCUUAGCUGUCUCCCGUGGCAAAUCCCAAGAUAUGAACACAACGUUGUGUUGCCUUGAGAAAAGAGUCCAUGUGAAAUGGCAAGAACCCGGAUCAAAAAUUAAAUGCGCACAGAAAGCAUCACAAGACAAAAAGACCAAAGUCCUUGAGCCUUGUCUCGCCCCACCCAAGCACCAGAAAUUUAUCUACCUUCUGUAAGGCUGAGAGAACGCUUCGGCCUCAGUAAAAACUAGUUACAAGGGCUGAAAAUUUCAGCUGACACAUUCCUUGACCUGAAACCAUAGGCAAUUCUACCAUCCACCAAUAACUUAGGUGAUAUUUUGCAUAAAAAGCUGAGGGAAAUGGUUGUUCGACAUAUUUACGUAUCCGGUUUUAAUAGCAACCAGCUAGCAUUUUGCCCGAAAUCGUUCAAGCUUGUAGAGUACUCCACUCUGUAACAGUGAAAUUCUAUGUCGAAGGGCCUGCAAAGUAAAACCUAAAUAGCAACUAUACAUCCAUAGCAGUACCUAAAUCCGGCAUUUAGUGUUCUCCAUCUGCUCUCUUCCCCUUGACAGAAAAAAUGAGCCAUAGACUUUGAUGAACACAAAUGCUUAAAAUAGCUAUAGAGACAGUAUAAAGGAUUCAAUAUCAUCUUAUACCAUCCUGCAUCACCAUCAACGUGAUAAGCAUUCAACGAUUCCGUUUGCAUCCAUUUCAUGUCAGGACAUGAAAUAUCAAUCUCUGCAGAGAAACACACAGCUCUAGUUAUAACCUUGACACAUAUAUCAUAGUUGACAAAAGUGCCUUCCGCUGGUCGCAUUCAUCAGCAUGAACUUUAAACAUCUCAAUCUAGCAAUUCAACUAAUGUAAUGCUGGUAAACAAUCCAAGUCCCUGCCCAGUGAUAAAGCAUAGGAGUUCAUGCAAUCAAAUUUUCAUGUCAAGCAUUCUUGCGAAUCCCCAAAGUCCAUUACGCACCAUGGUUUUCAUGCCUGCCCUAAGCAGCAGGAAUUCAGCCAUGAAGAUGCCUGUUUCCAGUACAUUGAAGAACUGUGUCAAAAUCUCCUCCUUUUAUAUCCGGACCCUUCAUUGAACCCAUCAUCAUGCCAUACCUGCCCACUCUCCCUGUAAUUUCCUUCUUGAUCCUCGAUAGUUCGAAUUCGUCUAGGAGCAGCAACAGGUCGACCUUUCAUCCGCCCAUCAAACUCCCUUUCUCUGAUGCCCCUUCCAACAAAAUCUGCAUCACCUUCAGAACAAAAUCUGAAAGGCCUGGGACCAUCGUCCAGUUGGAACCGAAGAUUAUCACUGUCACUAAUGUAUGGAGGUCUAAAAGAACGAAUCAAUCCCCGGCUUUCACCACACUUUCUUCUCUCCUCACUACUUCCUUCACCAUGAAAUUCCUGAAAUCUGCCAGAAGGUACUGGCCUCCCAAAAUACUCAUCACCACUUGUCCUAAUUCGAGGUUCCAAAACAUCAACUCUCCUAGUGCUUCUGCUGAAAACCCGAUCAGAUGGGCUCCUCCUACUGGAGUUUAUAGGCCUUGGAUGACCAUGCUCCCUUGCAGAGUCUACAUCCCUAACGUCAUCAGAAGGCCGAGCCAAGAAGGAGGGAGAUCCACGCCUUCUAGCAACCAUAUCUUCAGGAAAACAAGAACGAUCCGGAGAUCUCAUCCUUUCCACCCUGUACAUAGCUGGUGAUCUAUGCUGAGCCAAUUGUUGAAGUCCACCAAAUCCAGCAGGAGAUCUCCUUCUAGGGGAAGUCCAUGGACCAGGGGAGCGUGUUCGUGAUCCAACUGGAGAUUUUGACCGAACUUGAGGAAACCCCCUCCUCUGGAAUGUAGAGAAGUUCCUGUUCCCUCGGACAAAUUGAGUAUUCCCACCUUCAUACAUUGAGUUCGGACGAGUAUAUGCAGGUUCUAUAAUACCAUCUGGUAAAUCCCUCGCAUAUUUUCCAUCUUGACGAAGUCCAACCAAAUCAACCCCAUUAUCAUCAUUAAGUCUACCAGGGCUAAUAUUUCUUGGAAUUCUGUGAACCAUUUGGAUUUCCCUGCUGCCAGGACCAUCUCUACCUCCAGGAGACAACCUCCUUGAGGAUGGACGUCGAAAUGAAGGCAAAUCGUCAUUCAAAGAUUUCCUUCCUCUACCAAUACUCAAAGAAGCACCAUCGGGUGGAAUAACAAAGUCAUUACAUUCAAGCUCAGUAUCAGCAAUGGCAGCAGCAUGUUUGUUCCUGGUAAACCGAUAGUCAUCAUUGUAACUUCCAAAAGCGAAGUCACGGUUAGAACCCCACUCGCCUCGUGAAGUAUCUAAGCGACCAGAAAACUUCCCUCUUCCCCUUGUAUAAUUCGAUCUGGAGUUUCUAAAAGACUGAUCUUGAAUCCUUUCUCUAAGGAAUCUAUGGGGAUUAUCAGCGUCAAUUUCAUCUCUGCAAAAUACAAGACAGAUAAAUCACAAAAUAAUUCUAGAACCAUAAAAAAGUAAAAAAAGAAUGAUUAAUUAGCAAUGGCAGAGAAUAAUCACCUCUUUCCUCGUGGAAUAAAUUUCUCCCCAUCAGGAUCUGAGUACCUUCCUCUUCCAUUUCUUGACGACAGUAAUCUAUCCGGAAUUGACCUUGUUUUAGAAGGAGAUAUUGCAGAAGCACGAGGUAAAUUGAUAAUGCGGCUCUUGUUACCCCCACUCGUAGAAUUUUUAGCAGCACUAUUACCAUUUAAAGAAUCUUCUACCUUUGAAAGAGAUGAAUCAGGCUUCUCAUCCGUGUUAACUGCUUUAGCAACUUGAACUUUGGGCUCACCUGCUGCUGGUACUGUCCUAAUGCCUGAACUAGUUGUUCCAUCACAGGACAUAUCUUUUUCAAUACUCUUUUGGGAAGAUUUCUUACCUGUUGGCUCAAGUAAUUUCCUUUGGGAGGAACUACAUGGCUCCUCGUCUGCAUCAGUUGUAGCCAUUCCAUCCAAUGGAAGUUUAUCUGAAUGACCAUCUUUAGCCAUAAGCUGUUCACAAUUCUUGUUAGAAACUGUGCCAACACUCUCCUUGAUGCAAUCAACAGCUGUAUUGUCAUGAAUUUUCAAGUCAUUUUCUUUAUGCACAAGACAGGAUUGGUCGGUAUAAGUAUCACCACCUGGAAAUCCAGAAGGACAAUGUUUAUUAUCACAAUCACCAUGCUUAGCACUAUCUGCACUUCCAUCCGCAGUAAGCUCCUCUAUUUUUGAAUUCUCUAAGGGGUCCCGAACUUCACCAUCUUCAUAAUCAUCAUCAUCUCUCCCAACUCUACCAUGCAAAAACUUGCUUACCACAACUUGCUUACCAUCUGAUUCACAUUCAGAACCAUAAGAUUCAUCUUCCAUUGUUUCAGCUGAUAUAUUUAUCUUCUCCUCAUCACUCACGGAUCCCUCACCAUGUGCACGUAAAUCAUGCACAUGUUCCUUUGUCCUUUUCAGCUCAGGAUGAUCAACAUUCAUGUCCUCUGCCUCAUUAUUACCCAUCUUAUGAGCAGCCAUAUUUUCUUCUCUAACCCUGUGAUGCGCAGUCUUAGGAUUCAUAUCUGCAGGAGCUUGAAGAAAGCCAUCACUACCCAUAUGAGGUUCUUUGGUAUGAGUGGAACGUUCAGAUUGAUUUGAUACAUCUGCACUUGUAGAUAAAUCAGAAGAAGUAGGUAUUCUUGAAGGAGAAGGCUUUUGGGGCGUCAAAGGUGUUGGUAAAACAGAAGAAGAAGAAAAACUCUCCUGAGAGUGGACAAACAUUGGAAUUGAUUGUUGUAGUCUCAAAUCUGAUGUCCUGCAGAGUUCCUGACUAACUUCAUUAGUAGGUUCAGGUUUAAUAGACCUUUGUUCAGUUGUGUCCUGGGGGCUGCUAGCUAGCAAUUUAACAGCUUCAGCAUUGUGCUUCUCAAUAGGUUCCCUUUUCACAGCAUUGAAAUCCGAUAAUUCAACAGAUCUCUUGAUCGUUCCCACAGAACUAUUUUUGGAAUUCUCAUCACUAGGUUCUAAUUUGACUACGCUGACACCAGGAGAUUUCUUAUCUUCAGUUGAGAGCAAUCCACUAUGCCGAUUUGUGGAAAUAUCCAUCCUAGGAGCUACUUCAGCUGAUAAACCAGUGCGCUCUCGGACAAAAUCCACAUUCCCAAAAGAGGAACUAAGAGUCAGACGGAGUGAGUCCUCAGAAGGUUUAAUCAACUGUACAGAAGAAUUUGGAAAACUGGAACGUGGCUCCCUUGUUGCAUUAACCUGUUUCUCCUUCACGCUGCUAACGUUGACAAUGGAAUUAGAGCUUAAUAGUCUUCGAUCAUUCAAGCUAAUUGUCUUACCAGAGCCACCAAUAGUACCUUGGAAAGUAGUAUCACCAAUAGAUCCCUCCCAAGCAUCCAUAGUGGUAUUCAAAUCCCAAUUUGAUCGAUUAGCACAUUCAGAUUUGCUAUCACCCUUUAAGCUAGUAUCACCACUCCUCUCUUCUGUAACAUGUUUUUCUUUGCUUAGAGACAAGGACAACAGAGAAGGAUCUACAUUCAAACCAGGAAUAAGAAAUUCCUUCGGUCCCAAUGCCAACUUACCAUUAUUCCCCAAACCCGUAGCAAGUUUGAGCUUAAAAUCAUCCUCCACUAGUUUGUUGUGCAUCUCUUUCUUUACUCUCACCAAAGCAGCACCCACCGGGGUUCCUGGAACUCCUGAGCUUGCUAGUUUUCCAGUCAAAAGAAGAUCCGUGUUGCUCUCGACCCUGUUUGCAGAACCCAAAUUAAACAUAGGGCUCAACUCCGGAAGUUUGACUCCAGAAACGUCUGUGUCUAAAUUAUCCAAGUUGGCGUUUGGUGCAGAAACACAUUCUUUCUUAACCUCUAGGAGAUUAAUCUUACUAGCAUCCGAUUUUUCGGGAGAUCUGACAGCGACAUUUAUACUAGAAGGUCCUGGAUUUGAGGAAGAUAUUUGAUUGUUCUUCAAACCAGGCCUAGAUGCAAUACUGUCCUGUAAACCUGAACCAAAUUCUUGUUUGCUCCCCAAUUCUGAGCCAGAAUCUUCUUUGCUCGCCUGCUCUAAACCAGAUUCUUCUCCAUACGUCACAUCUGCACUAGAUGCUUCUUUCUUCUUCAAUUCUAAAGAAGAUUCUUGAUUCUCUGUAGAAUCUGUUACAAAUUUUUCUUUGUUCGUUGUGUCUGGGGUAGAUUCUUCAUGUUUCUUCAAAUCAUUUACCUCGGGUACUACUUCUUCACGAGGAGGAGACGACGGCGGGGACAACAAGAACCUCCUUUUCUUCAGAGGGAUACCUGCAGAAAUAUCAGUAGAAGACUUCCGGGAAAGGACCCGAGGCUGCAAACGGUGACCAAUCAUCAAUAAUAACAAAGAAUAACAGCAAGUGCUGAUAACAACAUAGGAAACAGAUGAUUAACCUCUUCUUUUCCAGAAACAGGCAUCAGUUCAAAGCUGGCACAAGUCAGAAAAUCUCUUUUUAGCUGAAACCUCUAAAACCAAGUGCCUAAGCACAUCAGAGAUACUUCAAAAGCCGUACGGUGUCAACCGAUUCUGCUCCUGUAAAUUCCAGUUAGCUAGUUGGGAUGGCCUUAACGGAUGAUACACGUAGCCAGACACCUUGCAAUCAGAGAUGGGAUUUUGCUGGUUUAAAAACCAAAGAAAAAGCUAGAGGUCAACAAUUUAAAACGGUAAACCAUAAUCGAAAGCAUAGCUCCUCACAGAAUCAUCAAAGCAAUCGAAAUCAAUUAUCAUUUUGUAACACAGAAACAAAAAAAAAAAAUCACAAAUUGACAAAAUAGGAGCUUUACUAAAAUAGUUUAGAAAAUUAUAUGGCAAUUUCCCAAUAAUCCUUUUCCCUUCCUUGAGAAACCAAAAAAAAAGAAAUUUUUAGAUGAUAAAUUUCGUCCGAGUGGAAGUUACUUGAGCUGAUUAAAAAGAAAAUCCCAAUAAUCCCAGAAACUAUGAUUCUACCCCAAGACACCUCCAGAAAAUCACCAGACUUCCUCUCCUAGCAUACAACCUGCCCCAAAAAGAUCAAAUUUUGAUGGCACCGACAGGCACACCCGGACAAAGACAGCCAAGGUGAUGAACGAUGGACAAGCAUUUUGGCUCAGACAGAACAACAAACAAAAUCUGGGCAUCGAUUGCAUUUUUCCCCCAAAAAAAACACACACACACACACACACACACACAGAGACACAGGUAACACGAACCUCCGAGCUAUUAGCUAGCAUUAGAUCCGUGUACAGCACAAAAAUCUAAUCAAAUUCAGAAACCAAAAACUCAUUGAUAUCGCAUACAUUCAUAUUUCUAUCGAGAAAUCGGGAAAAAAUCUACCGAGAAACCACACAGGAGAAGACAACAACCUUUAGACAGCUAAUAAUGUCGUAUCUUUCUUUUUCUUUCCCUGGUGUGGAAAAAAGGAAAGCAAGCAAGAAAGAGAGGAAAAAAGAAAAGAAGACAAAAGACUUUGGGGAAGAGAAUCGGGAAAGAGAGAGAUGAAACAGGAGAAAGUGGCGUAGUGGUGGCCUCGCCUGGUGGGAAAGCAGUAAUGACUAAUAAUAAUAAUAAUGCUGUGGUGGUUUCCAGGUAAUUUCCUAUCUUCUAUCGUUUGAUUGGAACUGAAAUGAUUGAUUAGGUUUCGUAGAAAUAUCCCCCCGCCCGGCGGGCCCCCCACUAUUAAUUGAAUUAUUUGGUCCUGGUCCAAUUGAAUUGAAUACGAUAAUGCUUUAUUAAUUUUUCAGGUUUUCACCUCCUCCAAGUAAAAUAAAUAAAAAAUACCACCACCCGGUAGUACUGGUGGUGGUGGUGCUAUUUUUCUUCUUAAUUUGUAAAUUAUCGCCAAUUUUUGACUUUUGCGUGGGAGUGGUUAGAAAUCAGAAUCAGCGAGAUGCUUAUCUUGUGCGUGCUGGCUGGCCGUUCUGAGUGGGUGGCGGCAAGUUUUGUUUAUUCCAUCCGAAUUUUUUCAAAAAAAAUUUAUUCAUCGCGGGGUUAGCGGAAAUGUCACGCAAGCUUAAUUAAAUCCGUGAAUCAGAUGUUGACACGUGGAAGUUGAGUCCUUGCGACGUGCGCAACUAGCAGGUGCGGGAGGGCCCCACCGGCUGUGUGAUCCUUUCUUAAGCCUUUGGGUCUGGGGCCUUUGGGCCAAGACGAAUGCGUCAAUGCUGGAUCCUGUGUCUCCUGAUUUUUUUUUUUAUUGGAUGCCAAAUCCUGUGCGCUUACGGCAGUCUGAGUUAGAUCGGUCAAUACGCCUUUGCUGUCUCCUUUUUAUUGUUAUCAUCAUAAUUAAAGAUGGGGACGGUGGAUUUUCAACAACAGCGAAUGAGUCAAGGGUUAAUCGACAGAGACCAUUCGAAGUGCACUGAUAACAUGUAAACGUUUUGGUUUCAGUAGCAGUUUGGUUUUAGUCGCCAGGUUAGCAUGUUGCAUCGGGUUGGGCAACUAUGCAUUGGGCCCGCAAAGUAAAUGCACUGCAUUAAAAUAUACUCAUGUCACCAAGGUUUUGGGCUUAGCCCAACCAUUGCUGGUGUGAAUUUGAGUCAUGAAUAAACAUUGGGCUAACCCAGCCACCACUAGCCUAAAAUUGAAUCAUGAGUAAACAUCAGCCUAAAGAAGGCCUAGAAAUUUGGCCGGUGUGCAAGUUGGGACUGAUAUAAUAAUCUAAUGGGUCACUAACUAAUGAAUUGCAGGGUCCAGACGGUGGGAAAUUGUUGGCCAGACGCUAAUAAUCAAGCAUUCCUUGGAGUAGAGCAAAAUCCCAAGCUCAUCCAAAUCGCGACUCCGUAUUUAUUUUUCCAUUCAUUUUUAAGGGCAAGAAUAGUGAUUAGUCAUCACAGUUGCCGAAACUCCAUUCUUGCUUCAAAAAUCAAUUCUAUUCUCCUGGUAGUAUGCUAGUACCACUAGUACAAUUUUUAGUCAUUCAUUGCAUUCCUGCCUUCUAGCUCCCGCUUCUUACCUCUGGGUCUAGUCUAUGAAACGAAUUAGUGCAGGCUGCAGUUUUCUUAUUAAGAUUUAGGAUCAAGUGUUCACGUUCACCAAACUCCCUAGACCAAUGAAUUGUCUUCUACGAUUAUCGCUACAUGCCUAAAAGAGCACCAGUCAAAUGCAGCAAAACUCUUGGAUUUAGAACUGUUUAGCUACUGAAAAUACUUACUGUUACAUAUCUCAGCUGCUGUCAUCCAGUAAAUUCAAUCACGUGAUAAAUGCACGAAUCACAGACGAAUCGAAGUCCAUUGCACAGAAUCUCGAGCAGACGCGAUUUUCGUUUCCAACAGCAAACAACGACGCAUCCAUUAACCAUGACGUAACCGAAAGAGAGAAUGUACCAGACCAUGACAUAUUCCCCGAAAAGAAAAUUACUACUACUUGUAAUUACAAAGGGGACCAAAUCAGAAUCCCUAAUUACUUCACAGAACUAUCCUAACCGCCGAACCCAUAGAGGGUACGGCCUUGCCUUUUGAGAGCAUACACGACAUCCAUGGCGGUGACAGUCUUCCGGCGAGCGUGCUCGGUGUAGGUGACGGCAUCUCUGAUCACGUUCUCCAGGAAGAUCUUGAGGACGCCGCGUGUCUCCUCGUAGAUCAGGCCGCUAAUACGCUUCACGCCUCCUCUGCGAGCCAGACGGCGAAUCGCCGGCUUCGUGAUUCCCUGAAUGUUGUCGCGAAGCACCUUACGAUGACGUUUUGCUCCUCCCUUUCCCAAGCCCUUGCCUCCCUUGCCACGUCCCGACAUCUUCAAUCACAGCUGUUUGUUUCAUAUCAGCAUUACAGCGCAUGAUUAGAAACCAGUAAAAUUUUUAAGAUAUGAAGAAUCACGAAAAAUUGCUAUGAAAUUUCACGCUGGGUACAGAGAAAGAGAGAGAGAAACCACCAUCAAAUCAGAUAAAGAAAGGAACGAAAGAGAAAAAGAUAAAAGUACCUGAAAGAGAAAAGCGGCGAACUAGAUGAAGACAAAUGAAAUUGAGAGACUUCACUUGAGAGGAUGGGCCGGUGACUGGAGUCAUUUAUAGCGAGGAACACAUUUGGGAAUGAUCCGCGUCGAGUGUUGAAUUUAAGUGAUGGAGAACGUUGAUUACCAAUUGAACGGUGAGGAUUGUGAGUUUAUAGCUUGAAAGAGGAUCGCUGACAUGGCAGUAUGCGAAUUGGAUUUUCACUGAUUAUAGUUUUUGAACUUUGCAGAAAUGGCCCCUGGAUUUGCAAUUUAUCGCUUUUCUAUCCCUCUAUGCUCAAAAAACAAUUAAUAUAUUGUGAUUCCUCACACACUUUACAAUAGUCUGAUUACUAAUCCAGUAUCUGAUUUCUGACCAUAAUUUUGUUGGGAAGCCACGUGAUUUCAAGGUUUAGCCCAUAACUAUCCUUGGUUCCAAAAAGAUAAAGACAUAAAUUGUCAUUUGCAAGUGUUUUUGUAGAACUUGUGAUUUUUACAAUUCAAUCUUUACUUUCAUAAAUACUAAACACAAUAGAGUAAUUAUAUGCAUAAUAAGUUUGUUUAUGCACUGAUUACAUUAUGGGGCAACUUCAACACCAUUGAAUUAAUUCAUUGAAUUAAUAGUCACUCUCUCAGAUCAACGUUUGUUUCCUCUAUUACAAGAAUUUAUGAAUUGUUGAAUUUAAGAUCGUAAUUUAGCCCUAAGAGCAUGAAUAUUCAUUCAUUCAAUAGAUGCCACACAUACACUCUCUAACAGACGAAUUGAAGAUGGGAUGAUGACUGCGUGAGAUUUUACAUUUCAAUGAAAAAAAAAGGAAAAAAAGUUUAGGAGGAGUAAAAGUUAUUUAUUUUGUAAUAAGAAAGGCGUAGAAUUUAGGUAACGAGAAAAAAGAGAGAACGAUUUGAUUUUUUUUUUUUUAAAAAGGAGUUCCAGCCAAAAAAAAAUGUGAUAUUUAAAUCAAAUUGCGGCGAAUCUCCUUUUAUUUUUGUAAAAUUAAAAAUAAAAAAUCAUUCUGGCAUAAAAAUAUAUGAAAUUUAAAUCAAUUUUUUAUGAAACCUCAUAGGCCAUUUGCGACGACUUUUAAAGUGGAAUCCAAAGCUAACACCACUUUUGUGAUGUUUUCUUGUUUUCACAUUAUUCUGAGAGAUUCGGCGAUGAAUUCUAGCCACUAAAUCAAAAUGUAGUUAAUUUACGUGUGGAUAAUCUGCUACAACUGUGGUUUACAAUUGUUUACCACAUUAGACGAUUGGCAAAAUAUGUAUUUCUAGAAGGGAAAAUGUUCGUAACGUCCCUCAUAUUUUGUAAAAUAAUUUUUUUCGUCCCUCACUUUUAAAAGUGUAAUUUUAUAUCCCUUACACAUUCACAUCGGUCAAAUUUAGUCCCUAAUUAGGUUUCCGAUCAUUUUUUGGCCGGAAUCCAUCACGUACAAGGCACGUGAUCAUUUUUUAAGGGUAAAUUUAUCAAAUUAUAUUUUACAUAAUCUAAUCUAUAAUCCUCCAUAUUUUAUAAGACAAAUUUUUUCGUCCCUCACAUUUUAUAAAAUGAUUUUUUUAUCCCUCACAUUACACAAAAUGAAUUUUUCUAUCCCUCAUAUUUCAAAAAAUGAAUUUUUCCACCCCUUACUAAUUAUGUGUGUAAGGGAAACCCUAAAAAAAAUAUAUGUGUGUGAAUACAUUUUUAUUUAAACACGUGUAUAUGUCUAUUUGAUUUUGCUUAAUAAUACGAAUAGCAUAAAUAUAUGUAUGUGUCUAUUUGAUUUCACUUAACAAUAUGAAUACCAUAUAUUAUACGUGAUCAUUUGAUUUUAUCUGGUAUUAGCUAGUAAAAAAUCUUACAUUUAUUGUCAAGUUGGCCAAUAAAGCUAUUUUCGGUCAAAAUACAAUAAGAAUAUGCAAAUUAAGAUUCUACUGGUAAAUAUUAGUCAUAAUCAUACAAAAAGAGAAGAUAACCCACAAGUUGGGUCCAAUUACAUACAUGUGUUUAUACUAUUAUUAUUAAACAAAAUCAAAUAGACAUAUACAUGUGUUUAAAAAAAAUGUAUUCACACACAUAAUUAGUGAGAAAUGAAAAAUUCAUUUUUUGAAAUGUGAGGGAUAGAGAAAUUCAUUUUGUGAAAUGUGAGGGAUGAAAAAAAUUAUUUUAUAAAAUGUGAGGGACGAAAAAAUUUAUUUUAUAAAAUGUGGAGGACUAUAGAUCAAAUUAUGUAAAAUAUAAUUUGACAAAUUCACCCUUAAAAAAUGAUCACGUGCAUUGCACAUGAUGGAUUUCGGCCAAAAAAUGAUCGGAAAUCUAGUUAGGGAUUAAAUUUGACCGAUGUGAAUAUGUAAGAGACAUAAAAUUAUAUUUUUAAAAGUGAGGGACGAAAAAAAUUAGUUUACAAAAUGUGAGGGACGUUUUGGACGAUUUUCCCUUUCUGGAAUUUUCGUUGGGUUAAACAUUACUCGUUGAGUCGUGCCAAGAAUUCCACCUCCCCGCCAAAGGCGAAAGGCAAACAAGCCACUGUCCGUUUAAUAGACACAUCAGACUCGGAGUCGGGGUACAAGAAAGCUUUUUUGCGUGGCCGGAAAAUGCGGACGCUAGUACUAGUUGGAUCAGCUAAUUUCACAUAUACCUGGUGCCCUCUAGCUCGACGUCCUUUCUUCACUCUUUCCGUUCGCCACCGCCCCAAACUCAAAUUCUCCACUUCUUCGGAUAAGGUUCGCCUCCGAUAUUCAUACUAUCUCCGUCUUAUUAUCUUCUUUCUGAUUUGAUUCGUUUACUCUCUCUCUCUCUCUUUUCUUGCUUGAGCUCCCGUAAUACGUACUUAAAAGAAAGUGUUGUCUUAAGCUUCUACAUUACUAAAACUACAUAAAUGAUGUAUAAAUUUCUGGGCUUGUUGGCUUGCGUAAGAAUUAUCUUGAAUAAGAAGCAACGCAGUAGUAUCUGAUAUUGAGUCCAAUGGCUUAGGCAUGUAGGAGCUACAUUGACGAGGAAUGUGAUGAGGAUUUUUUGCCGUGGUUGGAGCAAAAAGCAUGUACAAAAAUAUCGUCCACGCUUUCCAUUGGAAAAUCUGCACAUGGAAGGUACAUUGCAAGUUAGCUUCUGCCCCCAAUGCUUGUGAAUUCAUCCUAGUAUAUCUAUUUUCUGAACAGAUCAAUUACUUUUUAUAACUGUUUCAAUUUGCUGCUGUAACUCGUUUCAGACUUGCGUUAACCAACUCACACUAAGAAUUUGCCUUUAGUUUUAGUUGUUCCCUUUGGAAAAUUAUGAUCUGAUAUACAUAAAUAUGCUGCAUCUUUGAAUGCAGGGCUCUAUAUGCUUCCAAGCCCAUACAAGCUGGGGACUGCAUAUUGAGAGUUCCUUACAGCGUGGUAUUUAGGUCUUCUGAAAAAGAUUGAAUGGGAAAGCGUUUACUUUCAUAGAAAAGUUUUGACUUAAAUUUUGAGAGUGCUUAAUGCGUUGAGAUGUUGAAUUCACGUUGAGAUGUUGAAUUCACGUUGAAAAUUGUGAAGUGGACUGACAAACUUCAAAAAAUCAUAAUUUGUUUAUUUUAUCUGCUAACCACUUUUUUUUUUUUUUAAUUUUCCCGAGUGUACACUAAAUUGAUCUUAAUCAUUCUGUUCUAUGGUGCAACUCAGAUACUGAAUUUUUUGCUUAUUAGUUUUUUCUCCUGGUAAGUUAAGAGUAUGACUUUAAGGUGGUUUGUUAAGUUUCUUAACUGAUUCUGCAGCAACUAGCACCAGAUAAUCUUCCUCCGGAAAUUUGUUCUUUGUUUGGAGAUGAAGUUAGCAGUGUCUCAAAAGUUGCUCUACUCCUGCUGCAUGAGCAGAAAAUGGGUCAGGUUGUUCAGCAAUAUUUUGAGUUUUCAAUUUUAUCAGCAAAUCCAUUUUUAUACUUACCACAUGUUGUGCCAGAAAAUCUGAUUUCUUUUCUACUUCCAUCUUCAGAAAUCUGAAUGGGCUCCAUAUAUCCGCCGGCUUCCUCAACCUUUUGAAAUGCAUAACACUGUAAAUGCUCUUUCUUUUCCUAGAUGAUGUAGUUUGUUUUUAAUGAAACAAAUACCACUGGCAGUUUUAAAAUACAGAGAAAAUAUGAUAGCUUCAACCUUCUUGCCUUUCAAAUAUGUGCUUUGCUUUCUUUCACUGGUCAUUGGUGUUUUUGUGGGUGGGGCCCACAGCAUUUUUAGUCGUAAACUACUUCUUCAAUUCUGGAUUCUUACCAUCAAACACAUAGCUAAAGUUUCUCUCAUAGAAAGAGUUAAGUUGUACUACUGGUGAUUGGUGAAUUCUUCUGUUUUAGUGGUAGAUCAAAUAUAAUGGCUUCCCUCUUGUUAAGGGCAUAGUCGUACUAAUUUAGCAAAUAUAACCUUAUAGUACUGGAUGGUGUUGUUAAGAUCCAUAUCUCUUGUCGUACUAGUUGUCCUGGAAAUUUUUUUACCAAAUGUAUUUGGUGAAUUCAAUUCAACAAAAUUUUGCCAUUAUAUGACCCAGCGCAUUUGACAUCUCAAGAACCCAGGUAUUUACGAGCAUUUAAGAUGGCAAUGUUGGGGUCUCUCUCUCUCUCUCUCUCAUAUGCACAGGCAAACUAUCUUUCAUGUGGUAUUAGUGAAUAUACAUGUCUUUCUCUUUUAUGUCUUGUAAGUUAUCUGCAGUUUUAUUCUGAUGUUCAAGAGGUAUGAUGUUUCGGUGACAAUUGAAAUUGCUGCAGAUAUUCUGGAGUGAUGAUGAACUGGAGAUGAUUAGACAAAGUGUUAUAUACCAGGAGACCAUCAAACAAAGGAAUCACAUUGAAAAGCAGUUUAUGGCAAUUAAACCAGUUAAUAUUUUUGUUGCUAUUUGUUGAUUGCUUUCCUAUUAACAAGCCACUGUGCAUCUACUAUGGGUUAUUUUCUGCCAUUGAUACCUCUGAAACUUGUCUCCAUUAAAGUUUUUGCAGCUCAAUGGGCAUUCUAAUGGUUGUAUUUGCUUGAGAUGAAUGGUUGUGAACCUUUUUUUGGACUAUUUUGUGUACUAGUCCCAACAUGUCCUGCUGUCAAUCAUUUUUAGUUAAUCCAAGCACCUCUGUAUUGAUAAGGAGAAAAAGUACCAUAGCGUUAUAUGGAUACUUCUCUUUGUUUCUGACAUCCUUCUAUAACAUCCUUUUAAUUUUUCAAGUUUCAAAAAGUAUGAUGAAAGAUGAUGUUGUCUCAUUAGUAUGCCUUGAUAUUUAGAUAAUUUGACUUUAGCAGUAGUACUUAACCAAUUUGUUUUCUUUGUCUCUAAUUUCAGGCCACUGAUCAAUUCCCUCAAUGUUUUGAAGAUGUCUCUCUGAAGGACUUUGCUUAUGCUCAUGCUUUAGGUACAAUUCUGUUGCUGUUAUCAAUGUGUCUAUGUACUGAUUAUCGAAUUUUACUUUUAGUUAUGGAGUUUGUUCCUGUCUCUAUGACAGUUCCACUAUCCUAUAAAGAAAAGCUAACUUCUUCUUUGUUCCAAAUACACCUAUCCUGUUAUAAUCACAUUUAAUUUCUGUUGAUUUGGUCACCAUUUCUUUAAACUUCUCUGCAAAAGAUGUUUCUGGUUUGCUGUUUGAUUCUGGUUUCUGACCUUCAAAUUUGAAUUAUAUCUAAAGUCAUCAUCUUCUUGUAAGUCAGGCAGUCUAUAACUCAUAUUUCCUAUAUAUGUUGCUAAGACAAAAGGCUCCAAAAAUAUUUUUAUAAAACAAAGAUAGUUUUAGAUCUAUUCAGUUUAAAUUAUCACUCUGAAUUUUGAGUAAAUUUUGACAAAUGUAAAACACAAGUGAUUUCUGUCGUUCGGUUUUUCUUUUCUGUCUAUAAAAGCUAGACAUUGGUGAAGUUGUCAAUAUAUCUGGACGUAUGAAUUAAUUUUGUUUUAGAAAAAAUAUGAACAUUUUCUUUCUUGUUUACUGACUAGUCUAGCAGCCAUUUUUUCACCAGUUUCAUCCAUAUCAUGUUGCUUCCCUCUUUUCCCACAACAGGAAAUGCACAGUUGAGACACCAUAAGGAUUAAAAUAACAACAUUGUGUAAACCUUGAACUUUGAGUUGGUGAUUUUAUGUUUCUUCAUUUCCUUAAGUUUUAUGGACUCGAACAUUUGGCGAUGACCUCUUUCUUGACAUUCCAGUUACAUCUCGAGCAUGGGAAAGCUCGAGGGGUGUCUCGAUGGUAUGCUGUCAAAAGAUUGUAGUACACUUGUUUACUGUUUCUGUGAUGAAAAUUGGUUAUAUGCCAAGUAACAGUGAUCAAUUGCUUUUAUUGUUGUGUUGUUUAGAUUCCAUUUGCAGAUUUUCUAAAUCAUGAUGGUACUUCAGAGGCAUGUCUUAUGAGUCAUGAAGGAAAACAGCUCUCAGAGGUCUCUCUCUCUCUCUGCAUUUUGAUCAUGAUUUUUCAAACAUUUUUACUGGUAGAACUACCAUCUUUUUAACCCAUUUGCCAAUUGCACAGCAUGAAAUUCUUGUUACUGACUUAACAGUGUAAACUUAAGGUACUUGUUACAAUAAAAUCUCAUAAUUCAAGCUAAUUGAUAUCUUGCUUGACAAGAUACCUGUCUUUGAGUCUUUACACAGGUCUAUUUGGACAUUUGAUUCAAUUCUGGUGUGUCAUUUUAGAACUGUACUAUUUAUCCUGUUCAUUCUUCUUCACUGCAAACCUGAUUCUAGGUAUUUCUUUUGUGCAAAUAUUUCAUAACUGAUUACGUGACUCCAGAAAAGUUCAAAAAUGUGAUUUAGCUAUUUUAUGUUAAAGUAGGCUUUUAUUUUUGUGCAGGUCAUUGCUGAGCGUGAUUACAGCCCUGGUGAUCAGGUAUGGUGAUGUAUUCAUAUGUCAACUCAUUGAAUAUGUUUUACCAUCUAUUUGAUUCUGUUAUAGGUGCCUGCUGAAUCAUAUUUAUCAGCUGGCAACUGCUUUAGUUUCUUAAUGUUCAGUUGCUUGGAGGUAAUGGUUUCGCAUUUCUGACCAGGUGCUAAUAAGUUAUGGAAAAUUUUCCAACAGUAGCCUAGUUUUGGACUUUGGCUUCACAGUUCCUUACAACAUUUACGACCAGGUUAGCCUCCUCAAAUUUGAGACUCGGAUAUCUUCCGAUAUUAUCUUGCAAGAAAUGAAGCAGAGGCACUUCCAGGCAUUAUUGUUACGCAUUUGUGUGCGAUUUUCUCUUAACUUUUGCUGCUUGAAGUGUGCGUUACCAAUAGAUUACUAUGAUACUCGAGUUUGUGAAUUUUAAACUCUGCCUAGAUUUUCCACCUGCUGUCUAUGCGACUUCUAGUGUAAAGUAAGUUGCUAACCUUAAUACCUAGUAUUCAAGAACUAGAGAGAAACAGGGAGGAACAGAGUGAGGGCGAGGGUUGCGGUUGCCUGUCAUUUUUCUUGAAUAUCAACAUUUUUGGAGGUUGAAUUUGUACUUCUCUCAUACACUGGCUUUAAUCCAUGCAUCCACAGGUUGGAUGUACCUAAGAAGUGGUAAAAACCAUCUUGACAAUACAAUGAGAAAGGCGUGAUAUGUCCGCAUUUGGUUCUAAUGUCAUAUAGAUAAUUAUAUUGUCUGACCAUGAUAACUUCUAUGAAGGUGUAAAACAUGUUUACACUGAAACACAAGUUCGGUUUCCAUUUAAAUUCUACUACUGCUGCCAUCUGCAGUCCAUUUUUGUCCACUUGACUGCAGGAGCCAGUGCUUUUACAGUAAUCCUGUGUUUUGAAUUACUAAUAGUUAAAGUUUCAUCUUGUGACCAACCAAAAGUUAGAUCUUGUGAGAGAUUUCACUAUGUUUGAGGCAUUUGAUUGGCACAAAUAACCCUUUCUAAUCACAGACUGCAAAAGGUAUACACAUCUGUUCUCUCCAUCCAGAUCAACAUGUACUUAUUUUUUAAUGAGCUAGCAGUCAUAUGUGGCAUAUGUCACGAGACCUAGUUGCAUGUCAUUUAUGUUUAAUAGUGGUUAAGAAUUUGUGAAGUUCUAAGUAUGAGAAGCUUUUUCCGUUGUCUUUUUUACCGGUUAACUGCUUUAAUGAUCUAGUGAGCUGGCUGGCCUGGCUAAGUAUGAUUGACAUUUAUUUGUUUUCAGGCUCAAGUUGAGCUCAAUAUACCUCAGCACUAUCAUCUUUUUCAGAUGAAGUUGGAACUUCUGCAGAGAUUCAAGGCACCAGCCAUUAAAGAUGUCAAUGAAUUUAGCUCUUCUGAGAAAUUAUUUACAAUCAAGUUGGUAUUGAUUCACUAACAUGCUUUUCAAGAAUUGAUGCGAUUGAGUAUUAAAUUUAGACAUUUAAAUUGUGCAUCCCUUCCACCAGGCCAUGUGUUGGGAGCACUAAAGAUAUGAACAGAAUAAAAGAUUAGCACUCUAAAACAUAAGUUGUCUAAAAAAUAUCAAGGAGUUCUUCUCAGACAUUUCAUCUUCAUCAAACUUCAGAUUUUCAAACGUAUGUGCUUGUUUUUUUUCUAAAUAUGAGCUCAUUGUAUCUAAAUGUUUGCAACAACAAUCUCUUCCUGAGAAGUUUCUCCAUUGCCAGCAUCAGCACAUGACUUUGCUUGAUCUCAUUUAAGCCUGGUUGUCAUGAAGGGAAGUGAAGUUUGCUUCUAAGAAAGGGAGGGGAAUUCCACAAUCUUUUCGUGCAUUUGCUUGUGUACUAUGUUCAAAUGCUCAAGGUCUUGAAUCCGUCUUUUUGCUUUUGCUAUCUGGAUAUUGCAAGAUGCUAUUUUUCUUAGAUCUGACUGAUUUGCAUCUAUUUCUCUUUUCCUUUUUCCAUUUGAUCUCAGAAUUGAGUGAUUUGGAGUCAGAAGCUGCACAAAGCCAUGGUAGGCUGGCUCGAAGUCCUUUGAAAAACAAAAGCAGGGAGAUUGAAGCACAUGAGUUGAUACACUCAAAAAUAACUGAACAAAUCAAUGAAUAUGAUGCAUGUAUCAAGGUGAUAAUAACUUCUGACCCAUGAGUUUCCCUUUAUGAUCCUAUCAUGAUUCUGUUUUAGGAUACUUUUUGAAAACUGAAAUCGAGGAAAAGGACUUGUACAACAUGGCUGGCCAAAAAUUCUUAGGUCAUUUUUGAGGCAUGUACUUCUGUCGUUUCACUUUUGCCUUUUUGGUAUGUUCCUACUAUUUGAUUAUUAAAUAAACAGGCGACUAGCAGAGAAGAGCUUUUUCUUCAAAGUACUAAACGUUUCAACCUUUAAUUUGUGCAGUGUAAUCUGUGUGUUGGUUUGGCAAGUUCAUGUUAUAAUUUUUUACUGGUGGCUAUGUACAGUCUCUGGGACCAUCCACCUCUCAAAACUUGGUUAGAAAACAUGCUUUAAGGAGACAAAUGGCUCAUGAUCUUCUUAGUGGUGAGCUUCGUGUUCUGAAGUCUGCUUCUGCAUGGCUGAAGAAGUAUUGUGCAACCUUAUUAGAAGGAUAGAGUGUAGGGUUCUAUUCUACAUAUGGUGAUCCAGUUUGAAGGUGGCCUCAUCUUGGAACUUAAGAGGGAGGUUCCAAUUGGUUUUCCAAUUCUCCAACCGCACACAAAGCUUGCUGAUAGUCAGACGAAUGGAAGUCGGUUUAUCACGUGCCUCCUCAUCGACAACCUAACAGAAAGCAGGAAGUUUUAGAGAUGCAUUACUCGUACAACAACAGUAUGAUGGUAGAGAAGGCAAGGGGCAAAAGUGCUGGAGUUGGCCAUGGCGCAUAGAACUCCUGUCGAGAAGUUCAUUGCUUAUUGUUGAGGGAACAGAAGUUAGUCGUGGGGUUGGGUACUGAAAAAGUAGUAGGUUGUUACAGGGGUUAAUUACUUUUUUUCUUCCCUGUUCUGUGGGCAAACUAUGAAUCAAGAUUUAGCCAAAUUGUAUUCAGCUCCCUUGUCAGUAAACACCGGAUGCAGGCCAUGGAUGGGUGGAGUGAAAUGAAAUGAAAAGCAAGAACUUUUAUUUGAAAGAGUCGAACAAAAGCACCCAAAAAAAAAGGUAAUAUUAUAAGAUGAAAAAGGAAUAACAAAUUGAAAAGUUUGCCAGAGUUGAUUUGUUCAUUCAGCCCUUUUAUUGAGUGAAAUGUUACUUUUGGAUGGAGGGCAGUUCGCAACUCUUUUUCAGUUUGGAAGACCAAAUAAAAACUUUUGCAGUUUGGAGGGUCAAGUUAGGACAUUUGCAAACUUUGGAGGGUGAAACUGGCAUUAAAUUCAUUAGUUCUCAUCAGAAAGGGGAAAAUUUUUGUUUUAAAAGGAAAACCCACAAAAAAACCAUAAACUCAGACGGGACAAGGGUCCCAUAGGCCCAUUGCCUUGCCGAGUUCCCGAACAUAACAUAAUGGGCUUCUGUUCGAGCCCAGUGUAUUCCAAUUAAAGAAAGCCCAUACAGGCAGACAGCAGCGGCUUAUAAUCCAAGGACAUCGUCAAGACAGCCUCCAUUCACUCAGUCCAAACAACCGCCGCAGUCCGCAGAGGAUAAAAUAAAAGGGGGAUCCGGUUCGUUCUAGGGUUCUUCUUUCCGUUUCAUCUCUUUCUGCAGGUACGCCCAAGCUCCCCGUCCCCUCCCACUUACCAUCUUCCCCAGCUUGUAAUUCCUAUUCCGAGCUAUCAGCUUAGCCAUUCUUCCGUAAAUUGUUACUGUUUUGAUAAUCCUUUUUCAUGUACUACGAAUUUGCUGUAUAUGUCUGCUGGCUUGCUUUUUUGCAUAUAUGCUGUCUUCUGUUGGAUUGAGUCUUUUCGUACAUGCCUACUUUAUCUGUUAAGUAGGUAAUUUGAAUGCGGAAGAGUGUAAGUUUUGUGACAUUAUUGGAAUAAGGGUUUGUUAUAUACUGGUCCUAGGUUAUAAUCCAAGUGAUAAUAAAUCGAACAUUUUUAUGACGUAUUAGUAAUUAUUAGCUCUACAUCUAUGAAGAAUGUAAUUUUCUGGGGUUUCUCGUAUGUGGCGUGCGUGCUUUUAUUUGGGUUUCUCUAAAAUUAAGUCUUUGAUAAUUACUUAUUUCUUUUGGUGAUUACAUGUGCAAAAUGGUUAGGUUUUCGGUAUUAGAAACCAAAUGUCGAUUUUCACUCACAAUUCUAGAAAUUAAUGGCAAAUUCGAACCAUUUAAGUAUUGAUUGCUGUUUGCAAAUUCAUGAAUGGUUUGAAUCUUAAAAAUUUGAUAUUUUCUUUUCCUAAUGAAUUAAUAAGAAAAUAGAAAUUGAUAAACCAAUAUUGAGUUAAAACCACCAUCUCCAUUUCAAUUGUAACAACAAUUAUGAGUACCUGUAAAACCCCGAGGAGAAACUGUUACAUAGAUGUCUAUUAUCUUGUUCAUAUCUGUUUUAUCUUGGCUAUAAAGGAAUUCUAAGAAAAAUUUCGUAGCUCCAUUUUAUUUUGAAUUGAAUAGAAAAUAGGUAUCUUCUUUUGUUUGAAUAAAGCACAGCCCAUGUCACCCCAUAAAGAACGGCAAUAGAAUAAAAGAGAAGAGGGAUAUUAAUAAUCUGCUGAUAUGUUUAGUAUCAUGUAUUCAUGUUCUUUAGGUUUUGCACAAAUACUUUUAAAAAGUUGGGGCUCUAAAAGAUUAUUGCAAUUAUUAGGGAAAAUGCCUCGCUAUGAUGAUCGCCAUGGUGUUACAAGGCUCUAUGUUGGCCGCCUUUCUUCAAGGACCCGUUCACGUGACCUGGAGGAUCUAUUUAGCAGAUAUGGAAGGUAAUUAAUCUACUUCAGUAGAAUUUGACUCAUUUCAUUUGCUUUUUUUAUUUACUUUUUUCGUAAUCUAGAUAAAGUUUAUGGAAUUUUGGUGUAAUGUUACUCCAUCUGCUUCUGUUUAAGCUUUUUGUUUUCCCCCUUAUUGGGUCAAUACUUCCCACCAUUGUUCUUUUUCUGUAUUGGUCAUCGGUCUUUGUUCUGGGGUUUAUCCACAUCAAGGCGUCUUGGGCAGAAUCAGAAUCCUCGUGAAACCCUUAUUGCCUUUGAGAUUCAAAUUAACACUUCUAUACAAAAUCUAUUUGAGAGAAAUUGUCCCACGUUUCAUUUUAACUUGAAUAAUGUUUCUGAAGGUUUAUGGGCUUUUGCCCAACCUGGAGGUCUAUGGUGAGAGGUUGCCCUUGGUGGAAUUGGUCGCUUGUCUUGCAGAAUGUAUAGGAGACUUUGGCGAUUCUAUCUUAAUGUUAUUACAAUUUUUUUUGAUGGAAAUGGCAACAAUCUCAAACUGGUGUUAUAGUUCAUCUUUGAGGGGCGAAGUAUCAGUCCUUUGGUUCUAACGUGUUGAUGGCCUUACUGUUUGUGGCACCCAUUUACGCAGAGUACGUGAUGUGGACAUGAAGCGUGAUUAUGCCUUUGUGGUACGCUUUUCUAGUAUCUUUUUUAAAGCAUCUUUUGCUAUUUAAGUGCAAGAGGGAGUCCUGUAACCUUUAUUUUCGUGGGCUCCUCUUCCCUUUUUAUCUGCUAUUGGUUGCAGGAAUUUAGUGAUCCUAGAGAUGCUGAUGAUGCAAGAUAUAGCAUGAAUGGCCGGGAAGUAGAUGGAAGUCGUAUUAUUGUGGAAUUUGCAAAGGGGGUAAGGUUUUCACUGCACGCUAUUCAUGAUCCUUCUCUCCCUUCCUGUUUCAGUUGUUUAUUCUGGUUCACUUGUACUUUUCCUUUGAUUGUUUGCAUGUUUUAUGUUGCCCUGGCCGCAUCUUUUCUUUUGAUUUAUUUAUGUUUAACUGAGCUGUUGUUAUUUUUGUCAGGAAAACUUUCAUGUUACAAAUCAUAAUUUUGCUUGUUUAUUCCUGCCUCUGAAGCAUAUUCGGAUGUGUCAUGUUUGAUUUUUUUUUUUAAGCGGGUUCCAAAGUGGCUAAAGGGGCUCUGCUUUUUUACUUUAGGUACCACGUGGUCCUGGUGGCUCCCGUGAUCGUGAUUAUCUUGGCAAGGGUCCAGCUCCUGGAACUGGGCGCUGCUUUAAUUGUGGAAUCGAUGGCCAUUGGGCUCGAGAUUGCAAAGCUGGGGACUGGAAGAACAAGUGCUAUCGAUGUGGUGAACGAGGCCAUAUAGAAAGGAACUGUCAAAACAGCCCCCAAAAGCUAAAGUGCAUACUGAGAUUCCUUCUUUUUUUCCCCCCAUUUUUUAUGAUUAGUCAGUGUUUCCAUGUUCUUAACUGAGUUUUGGUUGCGCAGACGCGGGCGCAGUUAUUCUCGAUCACCAUCUCCUCCUCGUCGUGGCAGGAGUCCAAGCCGUAGUUACAGCAGGAGCAGAAGCUACAGGUUAAACAUCUUGACUCAUUACUAGCUUCUCGAUUUAUUUUCUUUGCUUAGAUUUGCUAUUUUGUAGGCCUAAGUUUCCUGAAUUUGGAAUCCAUUUCCAUUGGUAAAAUGUUGCUUUGCAUGAGUUUUAACUUGCAUGAAAGGAAGGAGGAAAGUAAAAUUUAUCAAUAACUGAUGGGCACCUUCAUUUUCCUUGCAUUUAUCUUCAAAACCUGUCUUCAUGUUAAAGUGCUUUAUUGUAGGAAUUUGCUGUUUUUGCACCAGGUCAUAUUGGAUCAAAAUACAUUUAGAAUGUGACCCUUUUUUUGGUAUAUACCAUGUGUUUGCAGCCGAUCGAGGUCUCCACCAAGGAGGGAUCGUAGCAACGAGCGUGAGGAGAAAAGAUCUAGGAGCCCUAAGCGUCACAGGGUAUCAUCUCCACCACCAUCCAAAGGGAGGAAGCACAGCCCAACACCUGAUGAGAGAAGCCCCCGAGAGAGGGGCACUCCUUCACCAAGGGAUGGUAGGCCAACCAAUGACUCAGAGUAUAGUAGAAGCCCUAAAGAUGAUGCUCCAAGGGAUGAUGGUAUCAAAGAUAGGAGUCCUCUUGAAGAAAAU
RNAcentral lists this long non-coding RNA (44224 nucleotides) under Coffea arabica (coffee). RNAcentral's name for it is "long non-coding RNA (CARA_LNC001537)". The record is from RNAcentral. Lineage: Eukaryota; Viridiplantae; Streptophyta; Magnoliopsida; Gentianales; Rubiaceae.